This 253-nucleotide ribosomal RNA is filed under the name uncultured bacterium. RNAcentral describes it as "partial 16S ribosomal RNA". It matches the Rfam family "Bacterial small subunit ribosomal RNA", at positions 524 to 776 of the family's 1533-position model. The record is from RNAcentral.
UACAGAGACUGCAAGCGUUAUUCGGAUUCACUGGGCGUAAAGCGUGCGCAGGCGGUUUUGUAAGCCAGAUGUGAAAUCCCCGGGCUCAACCUGGGAAUGGCAUUUGGGACUGCAAGGCUGGAGUGUGGCAGAGGAGACUGGAAUUCCUGGUGUAGCAGUGAAAUGCGUAGAUAUCAGGAGGAAUACCGAUGGCGAAGGCAGGUCUCUGGGCUGACACUGACGCUCAUGCACGAAAGCGUGGGGAGCAAACAGG